RNAcentral lists this transfer RNA (76 nucleotides) under bacterium. Its description in RNAcentral is "tRNA-Thr". It matches the Rfam family "tRNA". From Rfam's summary of the family: Transfer RNA (tRNA) molecules are approximately 80 nucleotides in length. RNAcentral also lists the same sequence under 1 other name. The record is from RNAcentral.
GCCGGAGUAGCUCAGUUGGUAGAGCAACUCACUUGUAAUGAGUAGGUCGGGGGUUCGAGUCCUCUCUCCGGCUCCA